RNAcentral lists this ribosomal RNA (253 nucleotides) under uncultured bacterium. RNAcentral's name for it is "partial 16S ribosomal RNA". It matches the Rfam family "Bacterial small subunit ribosomal RNA", at positions 524 to 776 of the family's 1533-position model. The record is from RNAcentral.
UACGUAGGGGGCUAGCGUUGUCCGGAUUUAUUGGGCGUAAAGAGCGUGUAGGCGGCCAUGUAGGUCCGGUGUGAAAACUCGAGGCUUAACCUCGAGAUGUCAUCGGCAACCAUUUGGCUAGAGUCCGGAAGAGGAGAGUGGAAUUCCUGGUGUAGCGGUGAAAUGCGCAGAUAUCAGGAAGAACACCCAUGGCGAAAGCAGCUCUCUGGGACGGUACUGACGCUGAGACGCGAAAUCGUGGGGAGCGAACAGG